AGCGAACGCUGGCGGCAGGCCUAACACAUGCAAGUCGAACGGAUCCUUCGGGAUUAGUGGCGGACGGGUGAGUAACACGUGGGAACGUGCCCUUUGGUUCGGAACAACUCAGGGAAACUUGGGCUAAUACCGGAUGUGCCCUUCGGGGGAAAGAUUUAUCGCCAUUGGAGCGGCCCGCGUCUGAUUAGCUAGUUGGUGAGGUAACGGCCCACCAAGGCGACGAUCAGUAGCUGGUCUGAGAGGAUGAGCAGCCACACUUGGAGUGAGACACGGCCCAGACUCCUACGGGAGGCAGCAGUGGGGAAUCUUGCGCAAUGGGCGAAAGCCUGACGCAGCCAGGCCGCGUGAAUGAUGAAGGUCUGAGGAUUGUAAAAUUCUUUCAGCGGGGACGAUAAUGACGGUACCCGCAGAAGAAGCUCCGGCUAACUUCGUG
RNAcentral lists this ribosomal RNA (433 nucleotides) under uncultured bacterium. RNAcentral's name for it is "partial 16S ribosomal RNA". It matches the Rfam family "Bacterial small subunit ribosomal RNA", at positions 29 to 507 of the family's 1533-position model. The record is from RNAcentral.